GGGCGAAGGAAAUAGCGACUGAUGCGAUCAAACCAACUAAAAUGGAAAAGGAGGAAACUUGAAAAUGGAGAAGGAGGUGAGACAAUCACCGACAGUAAUGGGUGUCGUCAACGCGAUAAUAUAGAGGGGGUAGAUGAUGAUUGCGAAUAAGAAGAAAGGAGCAGGUAUUCAUGUGAAGGAGACGGCUAAAUCUUCGACGUCGAUCGCGAUGUCGAUAGCUGGCAGCUGGCCCAAGUCCCUUGGCCGUCGGUGGUGGUAAAUUUCGAUAAUGUCGACUGGAGUUUGGGAUUCAGUGGUUAGGGUUCAGAAAUAGUCUAGAGGAAUGAUGAGAGACGGGAAAUGAAGGAAAGAAAUUCUUAUUCUUACGGCUUUUUUUUUUUUUUUUU
Molecule: unclassified non-coding RNA, 386 nt
Filed under: Hevea brasiliensis (rubber tree)
Lineage: Eukaryota; Viridiplantae; Streptophyta; Magnoliopsida; Malpighiales; Euphorbiaceae
Source: RNAcentral